RNAcentral lists this ribosomal RNA (299 nucleotides) under Pholcus krabi. Its description in RNAcentral is "partial 12S ribosomal RNA". The record is from RNAcentral. Lineage: Eukaryota; Metazoa; Arthropoda; Arachnida; Araneae; Pholcidae.
AGGUAUUAAUAUAAAACCAUUGUACAAUGGCGGUCACCGUAAAUUAGAGAAACUCGCUUUGUAAUCGUAAACACCCGAUAACUUUCACUAUAUUGAUAAUUUUAUAGCUUAUAUACCGCCGUUAAAAAUUAACAACAAAACAAUUUAUAAUCUCUCACAAUCUCAAAUCAGGUCAAGGUGUAGUUAAUAUUAAAGAAAAAGUAAGUUACAUUAAAAAAGAUUUAAGAAAGAAAGUAAAAAUAUAAACAGAAAAAGAAUUUAUAUGUACAUUAUUAGUUAAAAACUAGUAUAGAACAGAA